AUGAUAUUUAGGGAGCUACCAUUUGAUUUUUAUGGGGGGGCUAGGAUGAAAAAUUUUGUCCUGCAUUUUUUUUUAGCUGUAAUCUCUGUCCUGCCUUUUUAUUUUUCACUCUGUUCGGUCCUGCAUUUUUUUUUUUGUUAGUUUAUCCUGACUUUUUUUACCUAAAUUGUCGUCCUGACUCUUUUUUUUUGCAAGUGUCUCAUCCUGACUUUUUUUUUAACUCAAAACUCCUGUCCUGCCUAUUUUUUUCAAAUUUCAUCCUAGCCCCCCCCCAUAAAAAUCAAAUGGUAGCUCCCUUAC
RNAcentral lists this long non-coding RNA (300 nucleotides) under Mytilus galloprovincialis (Mediterranean mussel). The record is from RNAcentral. Lineage: Eukaryota; Metazoa; Mollusca; Bivalvia; Mytilida; Mytilidae.